Molecule: unclassified non-coding RNA, 395 nt
Filed under: fungal sp.
Lineage: Eukaryota; Fungi
Description: partial internal transcribed spacer region
Rfam family: Eukaryotic small subunit ribosomal RNA (bases 1-46)
Source: RNAcentral
AAGUCGUAACAAGGUUUCCGUAGGUGAACCUGCGGAAGGAUCAUUAACACGUAUCCAACGUUAAACCCCCCCGUGCACACAGCGACCUGCUCCCCUCAAUUUCGGUCUUUUGGCAAUCCCUGGUAAAUCAUCGCCGAACAGUUUUGAUUCAGGAACAUCCAAAGGGCCGGGGUAGGGUAGAGCCGGAGAACGGACCGAGUGGUAGUUCAAAGGUGUCUUCUGUCGCGCACUGUGGAAAGGAAGACGCUUUACGAAUCACUGUCCAACACGGUCAGUGACCGGGUUCCUGGUCCUAGACCCCAUAUUCACCACCACAGUCGCAGACGAGGUAGGGAUACGUCCCUACCACCAAAUAAAUACUUGAACAACUGUUAACAAUGGAUAUCUUGGUUCUC